Molecule: ribosomal RNA, 153 nt
Filed under: Propithecus coquereli (Coquerel's sifaka)
Lineage: Eukaryota; Metazoa; Chordata; Mammalia; Primates; Indriidae
Description: 5.8S ribosomal RNA (ENSPCOG00000003793.1)
Rfam family: 5.8S ribosomal RNA
About the family: 5.8S ribosomal RNA (5.8S rRNA) is a component of the large subunit of the eukaryotic ribosome. It is transcribed by RNA polymerase I as part of the 45S precursor that also contains 18S and 28S rRNA. Functionally, it is thought that 5.8S rRNA may be involved in ribosome translocation.
Source: Rfam by way of RNAcentral
GACUGUUAGCGGUGGAUCACUCGGCUCCUGCGUCAAUGAAGAAUGCAGCUAACCGAAGGAAUUUAUGUGAAUUGCAGGACACAUUGAUCAUCGACACUUCGAACACACUUGCAGCCCGGGGUUCCUCCCAGGGCUAUGUCUGUCCGAGCAUCG